AUUCACAUACUUUAUCUCCUCUGAUUAUCGUAUCAUCUCUUAAUUCAUACUGAAGGUAUCUUUUCUUUGCUUAAGGUUGUUAGUGAAGAAAUCAAAUUAUCAUUGAGUUGAUUUUUGUGUUUUGUCCUUCAAUAUUAUUUUUGUGUUUGGGAAUGAUGGAUUUAUUGACCCCAUAGUUUCCAUAGUGCAUCUCUUCCCUUCUUUUGCAACUUAAGAUUUUCAAGCACUAAGAGCAUCAAUCAUAGUGUUUUUAUGCUUGUCACGGUUCCUUCUGUCGCCUCGUAUAUCAGCUCCCCCCCCCCCCCCCACCCCCCCCACCCUUUUAAAAAGGCAAGAUGCUCUUCCUUUUCUCUUGUAACUGUAAGCACUAAAAGCAUCAAUCAUAGUGGUCCUUACGCUUGUCAUGGUUCCUUAUGCACCCUUUAUCUCAGCCCCUUUGGCUUUCCCUUCACCAACACCCCCCACCCCCCUGCCAAAAAGCAAGAUAUUUAUCCUUUUCUCUUGUGCAUACAACUAGCUCUUUUUCUUUUAUGGGUAUUUUAGUUCCCAUCCAGGGAUUACCUUGAUGACUUGACAUGUUCAGCUCUCAUAGUGCUUUAUCAAAUAUACAGUCUCUCACUAGGUCACCCAUAUUCCUGCUUGCCAGUUAUCUUGACUUGGUUGUCUCAAAGAGCUUAUUGCCUUCUCCAUCUCCCCGUUGAAGG
Spinacia oleracea (spinach) is the source of this 704-nucleotide long non-coding RNA. RefSeq lists it as uncharacterized. NCBI's taxonomy places the organism in Eukaryota, Viridiplantae, Streptophyta, Magnoliopsida, Caryophyllales, Amaranthaceae. The transcript is spliced from 2 exons. The record is from RefSeq and is a predicted model, not a curated record.